GGCGGGUUAGUGAAGGUAUCACGGAGCAUUUUGGCUGCUCAAUCACGAAGGGUUCGUAUCUGUCA
Molecule: transfer RNA, 65 nt
Filed under: Bryopa lata
Lineage: Eukaryota; Metazoa; Mollusca; Bivalvia; Clavagellidae
Description: tRNA-Gln
Source: RNAcentral